GACGAACGCUGGCGGCGUGCUUAACACAUGCAAGUCGAACGGAAAGGCCCUGCUUUUGUGGGGUGCUCGAGUGGCGAACGGGGGAGUAACACGUGAGUAACCUGCCCUUGACUUUGGGAUAACUUCAGGAAACUGGGGCUAAUACCGGAUAGGAGCUCCUGCUGCAUGGUGGGGGUUGGAAAGUUUCGGCGGUUGGGGAUGGACUCGCGGCUUAUCAGCUUGUUGGUGGGGUAGUGGGUUACCAAGGCUUUGACGGGUAGCCGGCCUGCGAGGGUGACCGGCCACAUUGGGACUGGGAUGCGGCCCAGACUCCUACGGGAGGCAGCAGUGGAGAAUAUUGCACAAUGGGCGGAAGCCUGAUGCAGCAACGCCGCGUGCGGGAUGACGGCCUUCGGGUUGGAAACCGCUUUCGCCUGUGACGAAGCGUGAGUGACGGUAAUGGGUAAAGAAGCACCGGCUAACUACGUG
RNAcentral lists this ribosomal RNA (468 nucleotides) under uncultured bacterium. RNAcentral's name for it is "partial 16S ribosomal RNA". It matches the Rfam family "Bacterial small subunit ribosomal RNA", at positions 28 to 507 of the family's 1533-position model. The record is from RNAcentral.